UUCCGGGGAGCUCCGGGGGUCUAGGGGCCCGGAGUCCCAGGAACUCCAGAGUUCUCGGGUGGGGGGGGCCCGGGGGACUCGGAAGGUCUCAGGGUCUUGGGGAUCUCAGGGGUCGGGGAACUCCAGGGCCCAGGGCGGUCUCGGGGCGGGGUGUUUGCCUCAGGAUCCCGGAGGAUUCGGGGCACCAUGGUCGUGGCCCGCUGGCGUGGGCUCCCCAGGAACCGACGCCCUGGUUUUGCGUUUUCUGCGGCCUACACCGACUCUGGACUUGUGAAUGCAGCGAAAUCUUAAUGAAUGAGUAAUGAGACAGCAGAGUCGUCCGCGGGGUGGGGGCUACCAAUCUCCCCACCCCCGGCCCCGGCCCCGGCCCCGCCCCCGGUCUGCGAAGCCAGACCCAGGUCUGUGUUCCCAGCCUCCCCGCCCCCCAGAGGCUCCCCGGGUGUCUGAUCCCUGCCUCCUGGGCUCCUACUCCCCCCGCCCCCAGCCAGCCUCAACUGUCAACCUCUCUCUGAUGCCUUGGCCAUCGCUUUCUGUCUUCCCAACUGCUUCCCAUCUGCUUAAAACCCUCCUGUCUCCAUUUCCCGGACAUCUCUCAUUGCCUGUUCUGUUGGCUGACUUACCUGCCUGCCUCCCCGCCCAGCUUGUCCUCACGAUUUUGCCCUCCAGCCCUUGCUCUUCCUCCAUGAAGUCUCUCUUUUAAGGUCCCCUGACGGUUGCCUUGCAUGGAUUCCUCUGAAAAAACAGAUAUUUCCAGUCCCAACUUCUCUCUCAAUGCCAGUCUGACAUUUCCAAUCAAUUGUGAAAUGCCCACCUGUGUGAUUUCAGAUGUGCCAAACCGGACAUUUCUGAAAAUCAAAAACUCGUCUUCUCCCUGUAAGUAGACCUAUCCUCACACUGCCAUGCCAGAGGGCAGCCCGCGCCCUGACUCCCCUGCAGACUGCAGAAAAAGGACUUGCUAAGUCCCGAGAACACAGGGCAGAGAAGACAAAGCCUGAUCCAAGGCAGAGGGUUGCAAUUAGCCCCACAAAGUGCAUUAGGAACAUCAAGGGGGGGCCGGUGGAGACAGACAGAGGCGUCUGACAGAGGAGAAAGUUGAUAAGGGAGGUGCAUCUGGACACUUACUACUGUAACUUCUGCUAACAGUGGGGCGACUCCCUCAGGUAACACAUGUCGUGGUAAGCCUAGGGACUUGUGACCAUGUGCUGAGCACUAUUCGAAGCGCCUAACUACGUAUUAACUCACUUAAUUCCUACAACCCCACAAGGUGGGUGGGUAAACCAAGGCACGGGAAGCUGCUCAUUAGCCUGUGGUCAAACAGUUAAUGGUGGCAGAGUUGGGUUUGAACCCAGGUGGUCUGGCCCAGCAUUUUUGUUCUUGACCACUAGCUGUUCUGCUUCUCCGUCACCUUCUCAGAUCCUUUCAACAAGUCCUAUUGUUGUUACAGAAACUUCCUAUGUUCUAAAGUUGAAAAUAAUUUUGAAUCAUGAUUCUCUCAGUUAUUAACUAUAAUGCCCUUUUUUGUGUUAUCAGGAGGUUAGAUAAAUAUGCCUCCUAUGUCUCCGUGGCACUUGCACAGAAAGCCUCUGGGAUAAUCAGGACUCUGUGGCUACACUCACCUGCUGAACUGCUGGACAGCCCCUCAGAGCUCUGCUGGUGCCCUUCCUCUCCCUCGGGUGCCUGUGAGUUCCCUCAGCCUCUCCCGUUGCCCUCACGCUUACGUGGCCAGAUCCUCCUUGAAAAUCCAAUAUUUAGAACAGUUGAAGCCUACUUGGUCACGUAGAACAGAAGAGGAACCGUUCUUUGAAAGAAACCCAAAACAGGACUCUUGACAAAGAGCAAAUACAUUAACAUGUGUGUCAGAAAAGAAAUGUGAGGUAAUUUUGUAAAUCUUGUCAGUAAAAAACUGACAGGCCUUUCAUAUUUUUACUGUUCUCUCAUGAAUUUGGAAUCAUAUUUGCCAAAAAAACAAUAAACACUUGCCAUGUGAAGAGUCCAAGGCCUCAAGUCCCCACCCCAGCUCUGCCCUGUACAAGCUGCAUGUGCUGUGGUGGGUGAGUCAGCUCCACGGAGCCCUGGCCCCUCUUUGCCAAGUGGAGAAAUCAUGUCCACCCCCAAAGGAUUGUUUAUGGUGAUUAGUUAAGAGAUUCUCGGCUCCCACAUGUGGCAAUGAAAUCAUCCCUCCGAGCGCGUCAUCAUGCACCAUCUGAGUUCUUUGCUAGCUUUGUAAGGGACAAGAACCAGCACACGAACAGAAGAGACGUAUGGAACACCCUCCGGUCAUCGUGCGUCUAUGGGUGUGACGUUGGGGGAGGGGCUGUGGGCAAACGAGGCCACUCGCAGGAGCUGCGCAGCCGGGAGGCGUGUCUGAAGGCCCAAGCCCCGCGGUCCGGAGCCGCACAGCCGGGAGGAGGUGCCCAGCAUCGCACACCACCCGCGUGGUGAUGAGAAUCAUCGUCCUUCCCUUUGCACCUGCCCUUUGCCUGGCUCAGCGUGGCUUCCUGGGACAGGUGUGUGUCCCGAAGCACUAAGAGGCUGCUGGUGUCUGGGGGCCCUUUUAGAGGAGAGUCGGAAAAGCCACCUGCAGUGAAGGCAGGUCACCAAUUCUUGAGCUGAUUUCCACCGUGUUUGAAGAUGUCUGGUGACUCGGGCUCCUCAGAGGGGGAGCCUCGUGGCGGAAGUAAGCCUUGGCUGUGGCGAAGGACCCUCAAGGGUGCCCUGCGGUGCUUUCCAGCGACUUCGGCCAGUCGGGGUCCAUCCCGGCAACAGGCUGUCUUCCAUGCCUGUUGUGCGGAAUUGGUCUUCUCUGUCGUACUUUCUUGUUGCUGUGAUUCUCACAGAUGAAAAGUAGGGUUUGCAGCAGAAUCUGUGCCUGGGGAACGUGAUCAAACUUCUUGCCUAAAAGGAGCCUUUGUGUGGGUGUUCGUACUUCGCCUUGCGUAGCUGUGCGGAAUCAGUGUUAGGAUCCUGCCCGUCCGUGAACACUUCUGAUCCACCGUCCACAGGCCGGUGGCUUGGCGCAAGCCUGCUGUGCGGUCACCUUUCGCUCAGCGAGUCACCAUCACGGGACCGUGACCACCUACCUGCCCCUCCCGUGCACCUCGUGCAGUGCCUGGUGAUGGGGCUGCCGUCUGCUGUUCCGGACCGGCCGGCCACACCUUCACACUGCGGGACGUCCGCCCUGCGGUGCGGAGCCGCCUCCUUCCUCCCGCGCUCCAACCUCACCACCCACAGUAGAGUUCCUUCUUUCAAGGAACGGCCGGUUAGGUUCGUCUUUCGGAGUCUGGGGCUGUUACGGCACCGGUGGCCGGCAGAGGCCUGGCUUAACCCGACGGCCCAAGGACUCUCUGCAGCAACUCACUACUCAUCCUCAUCCGGAGAACAUCUGGUUCUGUGCUCCAACUUCCCAGCUAGAAGUCACUUGUUCACACGUUUCGGAUACGAAAUGUAAAAACCAAGACCCUUAUUAGGAUGCGCUACGGCACAGCGAUUGUGGCCCAUUGUGUCAGAGUCUCGAAAACGGCCACAGGGUAUGUCUGGGGAUACCCAGGAGCCCCCAUCCUGUGUGGCAGCGGCAUUCCCAAACUUUUGGGGAACACGGCCUGAGAAGGCUCGUAAAGCUGCAGACCGUGCGUGAAUGCGGGGAGAGUCAGAAUGCCUUCUCGGCCUUUCUGACGGAGGCCGAGGGAGCCGGAAGGGAGCACAGAUUCAAGAUGCGGCUGCCACAACCCGGUGUUCGAAACACAUUUGCCCACAGUGUCAACCCCACACGUCACCAGCACCGCUUUGUAGUGAGGUAUGUAUUGUCCUCUGUCGUCUUGGUUUUGGCCACAAUUCGCCUCCCUGUGGAAGUGGUGUGCUGUAAGAGAAUCCGAAAAACCAAAACGCGGAGCCCCACCAGGCUCCAGGCAGUGGACCAGAUCUGGACGACGAGUGGAAAUACUUUGUGAUGCCCCAGUGUGAAUAAUAGGACACGAAUCACAGAGGGUUGUGUCUUUCCACCUGCACGCAUCCGCUGCUUGUCUGAGGCAACGGGAGAUCAUGUGUUGCUUGCGACCACCCAGUGGUUCAGAUCCAGCCCCUAUGACCUCUGGGGGGCUCUCCACGCUGGUGUGAGAAUGACAGCACCUGUAAGUAGGGUGUGAGCUGAUGGAAAGCAGUGUGCUGUGACCACAGCCCAGGACACACGUUACAGGUGACCAGGGGCAAUUGUUCGAAUUUCUCAGCAAGGCCCCUGGUGCAGCCAGCCGGUCCAGCUAACGUCACCCUCCUGAGACCCAGGUCUCGAGGGUUGUUCCCACCCCGUGCUCCCCAGUGGAGCCCGAAGACCAGCCUGCGGCCGGCACCCCUGACUCCUUGCAGUCAGGAACCUCCUUCUGAGCCCCAGGGCGUCGGCUCUUCUGGCUUUGACCUGUGAGGCUCUCCUACCACCAGGCUACGCAGCCUCCUCGCGACAACAGAAUCACUGUGGAUGACGUCCACUCACCCACAACUGAAACUCGCGCUACCAGGAAGAGCCGCGGGGCUUGGUGGCUGGCCAGUAGACUGCAUAAAUACAAGACUCCACGUGGCUCGGCUUCACGCCAAAUGUCAGAAAGGGAAGGCCAGUGUGCCCCCCAACUCUUGGGCUUGGGGAGCGUGCACGGAGUGAAACCAAGAGGGCAAUGAGUGAAGGCGGUGUGGAACAGGACGGUCUUUCCCUUCUGUGUGACUCCUGCCGAGACCACCCACGGCAAGUCCCCGAGGGUGGAGCGCCUGGGAGCCACCUCUCAGCCGGAUGCAGGGCUGGUGUCCCUUCCACCCUCCAGAGGAGAGCCAGACGGCCACAUUCAUUCCUCUUGUUACACUCUUGCUCAAGGUCAGCACAAGGGGCCGCGAAUGCCGCUCACUUGUGUGGGGAGGUGGGCGCCCUUGGCCGCCGGGUGAGUGGAAACUCUCCUUGGAUCAGCUGUGGCCACGGCCACGCUAGGAUCCCACCCUCGCCCACACUUUUGACGGGGCGACUUUUGAUCGCUGCAUUAGGCAACGCUUUGUGGUAAACAUCAGGGUUGUCACCAGGAAGCGUGCCACGUUAUGCUUAUGACUUUAAACAACCCAGUUUUCAAAUCUACUUUGGAAUCUGAGUGAACGUGAACUAGUCCGCGUCUCCGAGGUGACCUGGUGCCAAACACUUCUCCGGGUUGGAGACACUUCCCAAGCUUCCCUGUGGGCCUGUUGUUUGGACUCUUGUCAGCAGCUCCCCCAACUCUGCUAAUGAGGUUUCUGAUAUCGUUGGACUGUUCCAGAACAUUCCAUCUCAGAAACGCUGGCAAGCCUCCUGGCACCGAGAAAGAUGCUGCUUGUGAGUGACUGUCAGCCUCGGCUCUGCAUCUGGAGAACCUGGUUAUCUUGGGGUCUGUCCCCCUAAAAACCCUCCAGACUCUUUUCUGCAGCCACCUCGAAUCUCAUUCCACCCAGUGCUCACUGCGCAGAAAUCAGACUCUGAACUUGCCAGGCUCCUGAGUCUGGGUGGAGUCUGGAGAUGGGUCGGGUCUGGGUUUCCCAUUCUGCAGAGCCCGCCGGACUCGCCUCGCCCAGGCAGCGCUGCACCCCGAAGCCUCUUCCAGGCCUGGCGCCCUCCCCCAGCUCCCCCAUCCUACGGCAGGUGCUGCCCGGCAGAGUUGUGGCUGCCGGGGACCAAGGACACGGAGCCGGCACCCAGGCGGCCGCUCCCGGAAGCUGGCAGAAGCAUGCUGCUGCCCGUGUAGACGCCUCCUGGCAUGGAAGGGCUGGGCCAGCGCCGGAGAUGGGAGUUCACGCCUCUGUGCGGGUGCUUAACCUUUCCUGCCUGUUGACUUAGGAGCAAAGCCAGUCAGGAAAUAGGCCCGAGAGCCAGAGGGCACCCAGCCCACGUCAACUCAGUACCGACGGAGCACCCACUGUGCUCACCCCUGACAUCCUGCACUGCGCAAAUGUCCCCAGUAGCAGGGGAUUUGGGCCACAGAGUGAAAACCUGCAGUGGUGUGAGUCUGGGUUCUCCACAUCUCAUACCUGCCAAUACCUAUAUUUUCAGAAUAGAUUUUUGAAGAGCAAACAACCGUGUAUCACAGAAUAAGAUGUACACCCCAACCCAAGGAUCUUAGAGCAAACACGGUGAGUGAAAUAAGGAAGUUACAGGCAGGGCAUGAAGGGCGGUCUCCAGAAGAGGGGGCUCAGGCGGGGUGGGACCUGGGCGAGGGGUCCCAGACACCUCCCCGCACGGUUCCUGGCAGCGGCUGGGCUGUGACGAUGGUGCUCUCACUGGCUGGUCUCACACGGCUGCGUUUUAAUUCUGAUGUCCAGGCCACCGCCCACCAAAACUGGAGCAGAGUUGGUUAUAUACAUAUAUAU
Long non-coding RNA from Lynx canadensis (Canada lynx), 6366 nucleotides. RefSeq lists it as uncharacterized. NCBI's taxonomy places the organism in Eukaryota, Metazoa, Chordata, Mammalia, Carnivora, Felidae. The record is from RefSeq and is a predicted model, not a curated record. The transcript has 3 exons.